This 2298-nucleotide long non-coding RNA is filed under the name Homo sapiens (human). RNAcentral's name for it is "novel transcript, antisense to LNPEP and ERAP2". The record is from RNAcentral. Lineage: Eukaryota; Metazoa; Chordata; Mammalia; Primates; Hominidae.
ACCGCUUCCUUAUCCUCUCGGUAUGCGCAUCGCCACCACCCUCGCUGCAGAGGCCGCCGCCCUCCCAGCGCGCCAUCACCGCCUCCUCUGCCUCUUCCCCUCCCUCAGCCCCGGCCCCUGCAUUGACUUGGCUCGGGCUGCGCCUCACUGCGCCUGCCAACUGUCACACGCUCUGAGGCUUUCAACAGCGGGGCGCCAGGGACAAACAAGCCGCGGCAAGCGCAAACAGCCUGCUCAAACAGGGACGGCCAGGGUGUUGUUUGACCAGCACUGGAAUUGGAAACUAGGUUUCGAAGAAGUCAAAUCGAAGUACAAUAUUGUAUUUUAAACUGCCUGUUGUUAUUACAUCCCUCACAACGCACGCUCUACUUGAAACUUCCAGUGGAUACCAACUGCACUUAGAAUAAAAAAUGAAACUCCUUGCCUAACUCUGGGACCUCAUCAGCACAUACUCACCAUAUUUUGGUAACAAAGGCCUUCAUGCUGUUCCCGGAAGUCGCCAAGUUCCAUCCAUCAUUGUUAAUAAUUCCUUUUGCUCGCUCCUCGCACAAGAACUGUUUCUUCUGCUUAGUGCUUUGCCUACUGAUUCCAUCUUGUCAUUUAAGUCUCGGCUCAAAUGUCACCUCUGCAAAGAACCCUUGUCUGACCAUACAUCUAAAAUAGCCACAAACACUCUAUAAAGACUUGGCCUUGCUUUAUUUCCUUCUCAGCACUCAUCACUGUCUGAAACAAUGUUUUGGAUUUGUUGCUUAUUAUCAGUCUCCCUUCUCAAGAAUGCAAGCUUUGUGAGGGCAGAGUCGUAAUCUUUUUUAAGGCUGUAUCCCCAAUGCCUGGAUUAUCAACUUCAGGCAAUGGACCACGCACCAGGAUUCCACCUCUUUCUAGCACCUAUCAGUGUUGCGCACAUCAUAGGCCCUCAACAAACAGGUGAGAAUGAAUGAGUUAACAGUGAAUUUUCCAAAGAGAUGAGACUUUAUUGUCAAAAUAUUUUAAAGAUUUCACGAAUUUUCAUGAUUUUUUUUUUUUGACAAAGUCUCACUCUGUCACCCAGGCUGGAGUGCGGUGGCACAAUCUCUGCUCACUGCAACCUCCGCCUCCUGGGUUCAAGUGAUUCUUGUGCCUCAGCCUCCCAGGUAGCUAGGAUUACAGGCGCCCACCACCAUGCCUGGCUAAUUUUUGUAUUUUUAGUAGAGACGGGGUUUCACCAUGUUGGUCAGCCUGUCUCAAACUCCUAACCUCAGGUGAUCCACCCACCUUGGCCUCCCAAAGUGCUGGGAUUACAGGCAUGAGCCACCGCACCCAGCCGAGAAUUUCUAUUAAAUAUAUUACAUAUGUUUCUAUCCUCUUAGGGUGUUCUCAACAGAUUUAAAUCUUAAUGACUUCAUUUUUUAAAAAAUUAUAAACUGAACCUAGGAUCAAGAGAAUUGAAACAUCUUCUUAAAAUAAUUCACUUCCUCAUCUCCAAAUUAGACACAAUGAUACUUUGCUACAGAGGAUUAUUGUCAAUCCGAGAAUCAAUUAGGGAAAAUAUAUGAAAGACAAUUCAUAAAUGUUUUGUAAACUUUAAAUUUCUUUACCUGCAUCAGUUACUUUUAUUCUUAUUUUUUGUUUUUUGGGACAGAGUCUUGCUCUGUUGCCCAGGCUGUAAUGCAGUGGCACAAUUACAGCUUAUUGGAGCCUCAACCUCCUGGGCUCAAGCGAUUCUCUUGUUUCAGCCAUCCAAGUAGCUGGGGCUACAGGUGUGCACUACCACACUUGGCUAAUUUUUUAAUUUUUUGUAGAUAUGGGUUUUCACCAUGUUUCCCAGGUUGAUUUCGAACUCCUGAGCUCAAGUGAUCCACCUGCCUUGGCCUUUCUUCCUUUUUUUUUUUUUUUUUGAGACAGGGUCUCAUUCGGUCACCCAGGCUGCAGUACAGUGAUGUGAUCUCGGCUCACUGCAACCUCUGCAGUGGGGAGAUACAGAAUGAAUAAAAUGACGAAUGGCUCCCUGACAGUGCUAGAUGCUUGUAACUCUGAAGCCAACUUAUAGUUUAAAAAGUAGCUUCCUUUUCUCUGACUUCCAUUUUAUUUUUCAAAAGGAUCUCUAUAAAUCUAUUAAAAAUACUUCUAAGAAUUAUUGUUAUGCCUAUGUUCUUUUUCAGACAAAAUAGAGACAGAGUCUAUAUUAUGGGCUUAAAAUUUUUAAUUUAAAGAAAAUCAGUGAAAGUUUAUGUUAGUAUAAAGACUCAGAGCCUUAUGCAAAAUAUGAGAAAUGGGGGUAGGGAGGGGAAAUUCACCUAGUAAAUGCAAUCUAUAGCU